GAUGUGUAUCUCAAUGAAUCUAUCCGCUUGAAGCAUGCCAAUGGAGCAAACACAGCGAGGGUCAUAAAAAGAAGAACAAAGGUACGGCCAUUCCACCAAUGGAUUCCAAACCAUUCUUCCAAUAUACCAGUAUGGUAAACUCCACAAGUUGUCCCAGACAAUACAUCACCAAUUAUAAUCAUGUAUACUAUGAGGAUCCCAACAUUGCUGAGCAGCACAAAAAUCUGAAGCAGCCUUCUCCCUCCAUUCCCAAAAGCAUCCCCCAUUACCCCGCCAUAAGAGUCCACUUUCCCAGCCUUGCUAUACCUCAACAAAAUCUCCACAGAACGCUCUGUGAGGACUGCAAUCAACACAAUCAUAAGAAUUCCAAGGCCAAGUCCCAGUACCUUCAUGGUGGCAGGUAAUGCCAUGAUACCAGCACCAAUAAUAGU
This 431-nucleotide unclassified non-coding RNA is filed under the name Hevea brasiliensis (rubber tree). Lineage: Eukaryota; Viridiplantae; Streptophyta; Magnoliopsida; Malpighiales; Euphorbiaceae. The record is from RNAcentral.